GCCCCAGACUCCUACGGGAGGCAGCAGUGGGGAAUAUUGCACAAUGGGCGCAAGCCUGAUGCAGCCAUGCCGCGUGUAUGAAGAAGGCCUUCGGGUUGUAAAGUACUUUCAGCGGGGAGGAAGGCGAUAAGGUUAAUAACCUUGUCGAUUGACGUUACCCGCAGAAGAAGCACCGGCUAACUCCGUGCCAGCAGCCGCGGUAAUACGGAGGGUGCAAGCGUUAAUCGGAAUUACUGGGCGUAAAGCGCACGCAGGCGGUCUGUCAAGUCGGAUGUGAAAUCCCCGGGCUCAACCUGGGAACUGCAUUCGAAGCUGGCAGGCUGGAGGCUUGUAGAGGGGGGUAGAAUUCCAGGUGUAGCGGUGAAAUGCGUAGAGAUCUGGAGGAAUACCGGUGGCGGAGGCGGCCCCCUGGACAAAGACUGACGCUCAGGGGCGAAAGCGUGGGGAGCAGACAGGAUUAGAUACCCCGGUACCC
This 475-nucleotide ribosomal RNA is filed under the name uncultured bacterium. Its description in RNAcentral is "bacterial SSU rRNA". It matches the Rfam family "Bacterial small subunit ribosomal RNA", at positions 328 to 795 of the family's 1533-position model. The record is from RNAcentral.